AGAGUAAAACAGUACGUGAAAUUGUUGAAACGGAAACGAUUGAAGCCAGUCGUACCAGCGGAUAAUCAACCUUUAGAUGCGAUUUUAUGGAGUGUGAGGAGCUAAUCGCCUUCAUGCCUGUAUAUUCGUAUACUUGGGGUGUACUUAUUCGUGUGGUAAGUUAACAUCAAUUUUGGUUGUCAUAAAAUGAUUGGAGGAAUGUAGCUUCGAUCUCGUAUUGAAGUGUUAUAGCCUUUGGUAGAUGUGAUGAUCGGGAUUGAGGAUUGCAACGGAUACCCUUCGGGGCUACCUGUCUGAUCUCUGAUUGUUGCUCUGGUGCUGAAAGCUUUCUUAUAGUUAUCAAAGUCGAUGGUCAAUAGGUUAGAAUGGGUUAAAUUCGUUAAGGAUGUUGACGUAAUGGCUUUAAACGACC
This 412-nucleotide non-coding RNA is filed under the name uncultured fungus. Lineage: Eukaryota; Fungi. RNAcentral also lists the same sequence under 1 other name. The record is from RNAcentral.